This 497-nucleotide ribosomal RNA is filed under the name uncultured bacterium. RNAcentral's name for it is "partial 16S ribosomal RNA". It matches the Rfam family "Bacterial small subunit ribosomal RNA", at positions 28 to 507 of the family's 1533-position model. The record is from RNAcentral.
GAUGAACGCUGGCGGCGUGCCUAAUACAUGCAAGUCGAGCGAACAGACGAGGAGCUUGCUCCUCUGACGUUAGCGGCGGACGGGUGAGUAACACGUGGAUAACCUACCUAUAAGACUGGGAUAACUUCGGGAAACCGGAGCUAAUACCGGAUAAUAUAUUGAACCGCAUGGUUCAAUAGUGAAAGACGGUUUUGCUGUCACUUAUAGAUGGAUCCGCGCCGCAUUAGCUAGUUGGUAAGGUAACGGCUUACCAAGGCAACGAUGCGUAGCCGACCUGAGAGGGUGAUCGGCCACCCUGGAACUGAGCCACGGUCCAGACGCCUACGGGAGGCAGCAGUAGGGAAUCGUCCGCAAUGGGCGAGAGCAUGACGGAGCAACGCCGCGUGAGUGAUGACGGUCUUCGGAUCGUAAAACUCUGUUAUUAGGGAAGAACAAAUGUGUAAGUAACUAUGCACGUCUUGACGGUACCUAAUCAGAAAGCCACGGCUAACUACGUG